Molecule: ribosomal RNA, 350 nt
Filed under: Calanus finmarchicus
Lineage: Eukaryota; Metazoa; Arthropoda; Copepoda; Calanoida; Calanidae
Description: partial 16S large subunit ribosomal RNA
Source: RNAcentral
UUAGUUUCUUAAUUGGGAAAUAGGAUGAAUGGUUUCACUAAAAUAUAGUUUUUAUCCUCAUUUGCGAAAUUUUAAUCUAAGUGAAAAUACUUAGCAGUUGUACUAGGACGAGAAGACCCUAUGAAGCUGGCAAACUAUUAAUACAUAUUCCUAUUAUUUAUUAGUUUAUUUUUUGGGGUAAAAUUUAAUAAUACUAUUAACAUAAUUGUACUAAAUUACAUCCUUUAGGAAUUAUGAAGAAGCUCCUCUAGGGAUAACAGCAUUAUGCUUAAAAGAGUUCUUAUCAGAAUAAGCGUUUGUGACCUCGAUGUUGAAUUAAAUGCUCUUUUAUGUGCAGGAGCUUAGAAGAG